Molecule: ribosomal RNA, 406 nt
Filed under: uncultured bacterium
Lineage: Bacteria
Description: partial 16S ribosomal RNA
Rfam family: Bacterial small subunit ribosomal RNA
Source: RNAcentral
AUUGAACGCUGGCGUCAGGCCUAACACAGGCAAGUCGAUCGAGUGGCGGACGGGUGAGUAAUGUGUGGGGAACUGCCUGAUGGAGGGGGAUAACUACUGGAAACGGUAGCUAAUACCGCAUACCAUCAGAUGAACCCAUAUGGGAUUAGCUUGUUGGUGGGGUAACGGCUCACCAAGGCGACGAUCCCUAGCUGGUCUGAGAGGAUGAUCAGCCACACUUGGACUGAGACACGGCCCAGACUCCUACGGGAGGCAGCAGUGGGGAAUAUUGCACAAUGGGCGCAAGCCUGAUGCAGCCAUGCCGCGAGUAUGAAGAAGGCCUUGGGGUUGUAAAGUACUUUCAGCGGGGAGGCGUUACCCGCAGAAGAAGCACCGGCUAACUCCGUGCCAGCCGCCGCGGUAAUAC